AAACGGAGAGUAUAGAAAUAUCUUCCCCUCUGCAAUGAAAACCAACCCGGUCCUUAGAUGGCUCGCUGGAGGCAAGCAGACACUUCACCUGGCCUCCGAUACCCGGUUGAUCAGUUUCCAUGACGACAGUCAAAGAGAGAUGACAGCAACUGUCCAUGUUAUCAUCACCGGCUUGGUUUUGCAGUGGAUGGUCAAGGCUUUGUGCUCCUUUGUUGACUGCAAAGGUGUGGACAACCCAUUCCGUGGAGCCGCUCACGUUGUUUUCUGAGAUACUGCUGCUGCUGCUGUAUACCACUCGAGGACUCACAGUGAAUUAUUGCUAAAGGUGACCAAAAAAAGUAACAAGUUUGUGGGAGUGAACUCUGCUUAUUUUAAGAUCUUUAAAGGAAGUAGGGAAUAACUCCCAUACCGAGGGCUGGUGCAAUUCAUUUAUGAGGCGACAUAAACAUCAAAUGUUGCCAUCGGUGCAUUGCAUGGAAUAUGAAUCCUUUGUUCUCCAGGUUCUGUCUGGAAGCUCUUUGUGACAGUUGUGUGAUAAAUGGCUCUGUUUAAAAUGUAGGGUUUGAAUGCACCAGGGCUAGGAGGAAGAUAAAGGAAUAUCUUCUUGUACACGUACAGGAAUAUGAUGGCACUGGUCUGAGAAUGUUCCUUGGUCUCAGACUCAAGAUUAGAUCAUUGUACUCCACAAUCUGACAGCUAAAGAGUUAAAGAUCAGCUCGCUAUAUGUGAUUGUCAUUCUAGAAGGGCCUGUUGGGAUAAAACUAUAACAUUUCAGCACAGCCAAUUGAAGUUCCUGAGAAGUUAGUUUGACCUUGAAUGCUUUUGAAUAGCAAAACCUAAAAUAAUCCAGGUUUUGACAAUUUAUGCUUGGUUAACAGAACCUGUUCUUCGUUUUAAGGCACUGAGGCUUUGUUUGCUAAGGACAGCCAGGGAGUAAUUAACUAUUUUUUUCUACCAUUUGUAGAAUAUACAAAUGGAUGCUACAAAAAUAAACGGGGGUCCGUUGAGGCUUAAGGAAGUAAUUAUCUUCCGAUGAUGUCAUAUAAAGGUGCUAAUUAUUUUAGACCAUGUUAUGCUACAGUAGCUUUAUUUUCUCUAUUAUUUGGCUAUGCUAAAUAUGUUAUUUUGAAAAGUUUAUGGAAGACUCUUUUGGGGAUUUGUUUCAUGUAUGAAUUGAGGAUACUAUGUCAAAUAUGCUAGUUUUAAAUAUGUUACCCAUAUACAUAAUUAAAAACUGAGAUUUGCAUUUUCAUCACAUUCUGGAGCAUGGAAACUAUCCUCGGUGGGCUUGACCUCACCUUUAAGUAAAAGUACUGUCUCUCUGCCGAGCGAAGGAACACUUUGAUUUAUGUUGAGCAAUACUAAAGGGGAUCAUGAGAUUUUAGAUAGAAAGCUCAGCCAUCUGCAAUCAAAUCCUCCCCAAGGUCAACAGUGACAACAUGAUCCUUAAGUAAACAUAGUAAAGAGCAGGUGGGAUUUGGCAUGCUUUUUUGCCAUUUUGAAAGAGUCUGUUAUGUCAACCACAGACACUGAGGGGUGAAAUGUUCAUAUAUAUAUAUAUAUAUAUAUAUAUAUAUAUACAC
This is a long non-coding RNA of Sinocyclocheilus grahami, 1583 nucleotides long. NCBI's taxonomy places the organism in Eukaryota, Metazoa, Chordata, Actinopteri, Cypriniformes, Cyprinidae. The record is from Ensembl.